UACAGAGGGGGCAAGCGUUGUUCGGAAUUACUGGGCGUAAAGGGCGCGUAGGCGGCCUUCUAAGUCGAACGUGAAAUCCCCGGGCUCAACCCGGGAACUGCGUCCGAUACUGGAAGGCUUGAAUCCGGGAGAGGGAUGCGGAAUUCCAGGUGUAGCGGUGAAAUGCGUAGAUAUCUGGAGGAACACCGGUGGCGAAGGCGGCAUCCUGGACCGAAAUUGACGCUGAGGCGCGAAAGCCAGGGGAGCAAACGGG
This 253-nucleotide ribosomal RNA is filed under the name uncultured bacterium. RNAcentral describes it as "partial 16S ribosomal RNA". It matches the Rfam family "Bacterial small subunit ribosomal RNA", at positions 524 to 776 of the family's 1533-position model. The record is from RNAcentral.